Molecule: ribosomal RNA, 337 nt
Filed under: Bothrops leucurus
Lineage: Eukaryota; Metazoa; Chordata; Lepidosauria; Squamata; Viperidae
Description: partial 12S ribosomal RNA
Source: RNAcentral
GAGUUAAACUUAAAACUUAAAAGACUUGACGGUGCUUCACCACACCCUAGAGGAGCCUGUCCAAUAACCGACGACCCACGAUUAACCCAGCCCCCCCUUGCCUACAGUCUAUAUACCGCCGUCGCCAGCCUACCUUGUGAAAGAAAUAAAGUAGGCCAAACAGUACCCACACUAAAACGACAGGUCGAGGUGUAACUCAUGAGGCGGACCCAGAUGGGCUACACUCUCACGCCCGAGAAUACGGAAAACACUACGAAAUUAGUCUUUAAAGGUGGAUUUAGCAGUAAGCUGGAAAUAAAACACCCGACUGAACAUAACGCAAUGAAGUGCGUACACA